Trichonephila clavipes is the source of this 73-nucleotide non-coding RNA. Lineage: Eukaryota; Metazoa; Arthropoda; Arachnida; Araneae; Nephilidae. The record is from the annotation of a GenBank genome assembly.
GUCCCUGUAGCGCAAUGGAUAGCGCGUUGGACUCUUAAUCCAAGGGCCUUGGGUUCGAAUCCCACCUGAGAUG